AAAAGUGUUGGGAUGACGUGUGGAUAGCGGUGAAAUUCCAAUCGAACUCGGAUAUAGCUGGUUCUCCUCGAAAUAGCUUUAGGGCUAGCCUCAUAGUAAGAUACGCAGGGGUAGAGCACUGAAUGUUCUAGGGGCCUUCACCGGUUACCGAAAACUAUCAAACUCCGAAUACCGCAGUAUUAUACUUGGGAGUCAGACUACGAGAGAUAAGUUCCGUGGUCAAAAGGGAAACAGCCCAGACCUACAGCUAAGGUCCCCAAAUGUAGAUUAAGUGGAGAAGGAUGUGGAGCUGCAUAGACAACUAGGAUGUUGGCUUAGAAGCAGCCACUCAUUUAAAGAGUGCGUAAUAGCUCACUAGUCGAGAGAUCCUGCGCCGAAAAUGUACCGGGGCUAAACUUACCACCGAAGCUACGGAUUUGCAAGUAAUUGCAAGUGGUAGGGGAGCGUCGUAAUCGGGCUGAAGUCGUACCGGAAGGAGCGGUGGACUGAUUACGAGUGAGAAUGUUGGCAUUAGUAGCGAGAUGUAGGUGAGAAUCCUACAGGCCGAAUAUCUAAGGUUUCCUCAGGAAGGCUCGUCCGCUGAGGGUUAGUCGGGACCUAAGCCGAGGCCGAAAGGCGUAGGCGAUGGACAAUCGGUUGAUAUUCCGAUACCACUACCAUCGUUAUUAUCGAGGGUGUGACGGAGAAGGAUAGUGUGUGCUAGCGAUUGGAAAUGCUAGUCUAAGCGUUUAGGGAGUUACGGUAGGCAAAUCCGCUGUAACAAUUCUGAGGCGUGAUGGGGAAGGUCAUUAAGACCGAAGUACAUGAUUCCAUGCUUCCAAGAAAAGCAUCUAGAGAGAGAAGUAGUGCCCGUACCGCAAACCGACACAGGUAGAUGAGGAGAGAAUCCUAAGGCCGGCGGAAGAAUUGCAGUUAAGGAACUAGGCAAAUUGACCCCGUAAGUUCGCGAGAAGGGGUGCCUGCGAGAGCAGGCCGCAGAGAAUAGGCCCAAGCAACUGUUUAGCAAAAACACAGGUCUCUGCUAAAGCGUAAGCUGAUGUAUAGGGGCUGACGCCUGCCCGGUGCUGGAAGGUUAAGGGGAACACUUAGCGCAAGCGAAGGUGUGAACUUAAGCCCCAGUAAACGGCGGCCGUAACUAUAACGGUCCUAAGGUAGCGAAAUUCCUUGUCAGGUAAGUUCUGACCCGC
This 1187-nucleotide ribosomal RNA is filed under the name human gut metagenome. RNAcentral describes it as "bacterial LSU rRNA". It matches the Rfam family "Bacterial large subunit ribosomal RNA", at positions 792 to 1991 of the family's 2925-position model. The record is from RNAcentral.